AAAGAAGCUACUACUCGUUCUAGGAAGGACCUGCGUUUCUGCAAAUUGUAAAGCUUGCCUACAGCGUUUGUUUCUUAUAUAGUAAUUAGGAUGGUCGAGGUUGCAAGUGUUGAGCGUUGUAUCGUCGGUGAUGAUAGAGAUGUUGCAGGAAUGGGAUGUAUUGGGAAUUUACGUUCAACAUGACACCAAUAUAAACACUCUAGUCAAGAUGACAUGGUUGCUGGUUGUCACAUUUGGUGCUAAUUUCAUCCGU
RNAcentral lists this long non-coding RNA (253 nucleotides) under Oryza brachyantha (malo sina). RNAcentral's name for it is "long non-coding RNA (OBRA_LNC001510)". Lineage: Eukaryota; Viridiplantae; Streptophyta; Magnoliopsida; Poales; Poaceae. The record is from RNAcentral.